Long non-coding RNA from Octopus sinensis (East Asian common octopus), 504 nucleotides. RefSeq lists it as uncharacterized. The record is from RefSeq and is a predicted model, not a curated record. The transcript has 4 exons. NCBI's taxonomy places the organism in Eukaryota, Metazoa, Mollusca, Cephalopoda, Octopoda, Octopodidae.
GCGCGCGAGUUUGUGUUUAUGUGUGUGUGUGUGUGUGUGCGAGAUGUGUGCUUUUUAAACCUUAUAUACAAAUCGAAAUUGAAAGUAAACGCCCAGCACGCAGUUACCUUAUUAUAUUCAGUUUCAUAUCCUUCUUGACACUCUGAAAGACGUCAUAUCCUUCUUGACACUCUGAAAGAUUCGAGACCAAAAUUUACAGCGAAUAACAGCAUGAAGAUUUUUCAAAAGAUCAUUGGAUCGUUACACAUACAAUUUUGAGUCGAUCUUUACUACUACUACUACUACUGCUACUGCUGCUGUUGCUGCUGUUGCUACUACUACUACUACUACUACUCGCAGGUUUUUCAGUGACUAAUCUGUCCCAGUAUUCUCCAGAGGACGGAGGUAUGUUUUCCUGUCUGAAACUUUGUUGCUUGUAUGUGCGUUUGUAAGUGCGAGUAGUCUGAAAAAUUGGAUUUUUACCUUUUGACCAACAGAUUUUUAAAAUAAUUUUUUGUAAUUAAA